Molecule: ribosomal RNA, 471 nt
Filed under: uncultured bacterium
Lineage: Bacteria
Description: bacterial SSU rRNA
Rfam family: Bacterial small subunit ribosomal RNA
Source: RNAcentral
ACUCCUACGGGAGGCAGCAGUGAGGAAUAUUGCGCAAUGGGCGAAAGCCUGACGCAGCGACGCCGCGUGGAGGAUGACGGUCUUCGGAUUGUAAACUCCUGUUAAGUGGGAAGAAAGCCCAAUCUCUAACAUAGAUUGGUUAUGACGGUACCACUAGAGAAAGCACCGGCUAACUUCGUGCCAGCAGCCGCGGUAAUACGAGGGGUGCAAACGUUAUUCGGAUUUACUGGUGUAAAGGGUGUGUAGACGGCUUAUCAAGUUCGUUGUUAAAUCUUCCGGCCUAACCGGAAGCUUGCGAUGAAAACUGAUAGGCUAGAGGGUGAGAGAGAGAAGUGGAAUUCUCGGAGUAGCGGUAAAAUGCGUAGAUCUCGAGAGGAACACCGAUGGCGAAAGCAGCUUCUUGGCUCACUCCUGACGUUGAAACACGAAAGCGUGGGGAGCAAACAGGAUUAGAUACCCUGGUAGGCUCUG